This 253-nucleotide ribosomal RNA is filed under the name uncultured bacterium. RNAcentral's name for it is "partial 16S ribosomal RNA". It matches the Rfam family "Bacterial small subunit ribosomal RNA", at positions 524 to 776 of the family's 1533-position model. The record is from RNAcentral.
GACGGAGGAUGCAAGCGUUAUCCGGAAUGAUUGGGCGUAAAGCGUCCGCAGGUGGCAGUUCAAGUCUGCUGUCAAAGACCGGGGCUUAACUUCGGAAAGGCAGUGGAAACUGAACAGCUAGAGUAUGGUAGGGGCAGAGGGAAUUCCUGGUGUAGCGGUGAAAUGCGUAGAGAUCCGGAAGAACAUCGGUGGCGAAGGCGGCCUGCUGGGCAGUAGCUGACGCUGAGGCGCGACAGCGUGGGGAGCAAACAGG